Molecule: ribosomal RNA, 217 nt
Filed under: uncultured bacterium
Lineage: Bacteria
Description: partial 16S ribosomal RNA
Rfam family: Bacterial small subunit ribosomal RNA
Source: RNAcentral
AACGUAGGUGGCGAAGCGUUAGUCCGGAUUUAUUGGUGCGUAAAGCGUGUGCAGGCGGGGUGACAAGUGGUGUAUGAAAUCUCCGGGCUAAACCCUGGAGGGGUUAUGCCAGACUGUCAUUCUAGAGUGCGAGAGGAGGGGCGUGGAAUUCCGGGUGUAGUGGUGAAAUGCGUAGAGAUCCGGAGGAACCCCACGAGGCGAAGGACGGCGCCCUGCU